Molecule: ribosomal RNA, 836 nt
Filed under: Bacillus licheniformis
Lineage: Bacteria; Bacillati; Bacillota; Bacilli; Caryophanales; Bacillaceae
Description: bacterial SSU rRNA
Rfam family: Bacterial small subunit ribosomal RNA
Source: RNAcentral
GCGGCGGACGGGUGAGUAACACGUGGGUAACCUGCCUGUAAGACUGGGAUAACUCCGGGAAACCGGGGCUAAUACCGGAUGCUUGAUUGAACCGCAUGGUUCAAUUAUAAAAGGUGGCUUUUAGCUACCACUUACAGAUGGACCCGCGGCGCAUUAGCUAGUUGGUGAGGUAACGGCUCACCAAGGCAACGAUGCGUAGCCAACCUGAAAGGGUGAUCGGCCACACUGGGACUGAAACACGGCCCAAACUCCUACGGGAGGCAGCAGUAGGGAAUCUUCCGCAAUGGACAAAAGUCUGACGGAGCAACGCCGCGUGAGUGAUGAAGGUUUUCGGAUCGUAAAACUCUGUUGUUAGGGAAAAACAAGUACCGUUCAAAUAGGGCGGUACCUUGACGGUACCUAACCAAAAAGCCACGGCUAACUACGUGCCAGCAGCCGCGGUAAUACGUAGGUGGCAAGCGUUGUCCGGAAUUAUUGGGCGUAAAGCGCGCGCAGGCGGUUUCUUAAGUCUGAUGUGAAAGCCCCCGGCUCAACCGGGGAGGGUCAUUGGAAACUGGGGAACUUGAGUGCAAAAAAGGAAAGUGGAAUUCCACGUGUAGCGGUGAAAUGCGUAAAGAUGUGGAGGAACACCAGUGGCGAAGGCGACUCUCUGGUCUGUAACUGACGCUGAGGCGCGAAAGCGUGGGGAGCGAACAGGAUUAGAUACCCUGGUAGUCCACGCCGUAAACGAUGAGUGCUAAGUGUUAGAGGGUUUCCGCCCUUUAGUGCUGCAGCAAACGCAUUAAGCACUCCGCCUGGGGAGUACGGUCGCAAGACUGAAACUCAAAGGAAUUGAC